CCCCUUUCAGGGUUGCAUCUGGAGAGUUUCUAGUACUCUACCAGUCUUGACCACGGGAGGGGAGAGUCAAGCAGAGGCAUAUUCAUUCCACUCCUAGCUUGGACAGUGGCUAGCAAGUGGAAGACAAUCUGCUACGAGU
Tachyglossus aculeatus (Australian echidna) is the source of this 139-nucleotide small nucleolar RNA. Lineage: Eukaryota; Metazoa; Chordata; Mammalia; Monotremata; Tachyglossidae. The record is from RefSeq and is a predicted model, not a curated record.